UACGUAGGGGGCAAGCGUUGUCCGGAUUUAUUGGGCGUAAAGAGCGUGUAGGCGGCUUCACAGGUCCGCUGUGAAAACUCGAGGCUCAACCUCGAGAUGUCGGUGGAAACCGUGUGGCUAGAGUCCGGAAGAGGAGAGUGGAAUUCCCGGUGUAGCGGUGAAAUGCGCAGAUAUCGGGAAGAACACCUGCGGCGAAAGCGGCUCACUGGACCAUAACUGACGCUGAUGCACGAAAGCUAGGGGAGCAAACAGG
RNAcentral lists this ribosomal RNA (253 nucleotides) under uncultured bacterium. RNAcentral describes it as "partial 16S ribosomal RNA". It matches the Rfam family "Bacterial small subunit ribosomal RNA", at positions 524 to 776 of the family's 1533-position model. The record is from RNAcentral.